UGUCUCCUGGACUCCUGGC
RNAcentral lists this non-coding RNA (19 nucleotides) under Mus musculus (house mouse). Lineage: Eukaryota; Metazoa; Chordata; Mammalia; Rodentia; Muridae. The record is from RNAcentral.